AAUUUCAUCACUACCCCUCUCAAAUAUGUAAAUAUCGUAGAUACCCCUGCAAAGUUGAAAAUAUCAUAUAUACCUCUUCAAAUGCAAAAAAAAUUCACAAUUACCCUUCCUUCUAACGGCUGUAAAUAUAACCAUGGUUAAAGUUUGGUUAAAUAAAGGUUGAGUUCCAAAAUAACUAAUUUAGCCCUAAAAAGGUUAGGUGUUAUUUUGAUAGCAAAUAAUUAAGGGGCAAUUUCAUAAGUACCCUUCUAAAUUUUAAAAAUAACAUCUCUAGCACUAAUUAUUAGUGCGUAAAAAAUAAAAAAAUCCCUCACCUAUAGAUAAUUUUGAACUAGACCCCUUUAAAUUUUAUUUUUUAACAUUAAGAGACCUUGAACUAUUAGUUUUUCUUUAUUUUGACUUUACUUAGUUAAAAGUUUUUUAAUUGAGAUUCCUCACAUGAAUUUAAUAAAAUUUUUACUUUUGCUGGGAAAAACACUCAAUUGCUAAAAUUAAAAAAAAAAACACUUAGGUUGAGAGGUUAUAUAUAUAGAGAGUUUUGUUAUAAUACUAUCGGUAGUACAGCUUGGUUUACUACGAUUUGUUUUCAAUGAUAGAACAUCCAAAUUGACAAUCGGCACCGUUAAAUUGAUAUAAACCAUUUAAACUAUCUGAAAAUUAAAUUUCACGCUUUUCCGAGUUAUGAUCAUGUCAAAGUGGACUAUAGAUAAGAGGGUUUUCAUAAAAUUUUAAUUUAUUGUUAAUAAUAAAUUUUCAAUUAAAAAUUUUUUGUUUGAGCAGAUCAUAUAAGUAAUACUCUAAUAUCGAGAAUUUUGAUAUCAAAAUAUUUUUAGCAUGAGAUAUGUGAGUUAUUUAAAUAAAAUUUUUAAAAUUAAAUAUUUAAAUAGUUAAUGUUGAAUUCUACUAUGGACAAAUUGCAUUAUAACUAUGCAUAAUUUAAAAGCGAAAAAUCAUAAUGAGAUUUAACUAUUACACUUAAUAAACUAUAGAUCUUUAAUUGAAAUAUUUUAAAAAUAAUGUUAAAUUAUUAUGUGAUUCAAAUGUUAAAAAUUGAUCAGAUAAUUAAUCUUGAAUAUUACAUAUUUAAAAUGUUGCUAGGGGUAAAAUUGGUAUUUACAAAAUAUUGGAUGACAACUUGAUGAAAAGCUAAUCUAAAGGGUAUCUGUGAACAUUUUUUGUUUUAAGAGGGGUAUUGAUGAUAUUUUUUAGUUUAAAGGGUUAUUCAUGAAAUUAUGAUUUUUCAGAGGGGUAUUGAUGAAAUUAUUCCUAUAAUUUAUCCUUGU
This 1283-nucleotide long non-coding RNA is filed under the name Ananas comosus (pineapple). Its description in RNAcentral is "long non-coding RNA (ACOM_LNC002545)". The record is from RNAcentral. Lineage: Eukaryota; Viridiplantae; Streptophyta; Magnoliopsida; Poales; Bromeliaceae.